UACAGAGGUCUCAAGCGUUGUUCGGAUUCAUUGGGCGUAAAGGGUGCGUAGGUGGCGCCGUAAGUCAGGUGUGAAAUUCCGGAGCUCAACUCCGGAACUGCAUUUGAUACUGCGGUGCUCGAGGACUGGAGAGGAGACUGGAAUUCACGGUGUAGCAGUGAAAUGCGUAGAUAUCGUGAGGAAGACCAGUGGCGAAGGCGGGUCUCUGGACAGUUCCUGACACUGAGGCACGAAGGCCAGGGGAGCAAACGGG
Molecule: ribosomal RNA, 253 nt
Filed under: uncultured bacterium
Lineage: Bacteria
Description: partial 16S ribosomal RNA
Rfam family: Bacterial small subunit ribosomal RNA
Source: RNAcentral